UACGGAGGAGGCAAGCGUUAUCCGGAAUUAUUGGGCGUAAAGCGUCCGCAGGUGGCUAUUCAAGUCUGCGGUCAAAGACUGGGGCUUAACCCUGGAAAGGCCGUGGAAACUGAAGAGCUAGAGUGCAGUAGGGGUAGAGGGAAUUCCCGGUGUAGCGGUGAAAUGCGUAGAGCUCGGGAAGAACAUCGGUGGCGAAGGCGGCCUGCUGGGCAGUGGCUGACACUGAGGCGCGACAGCGUGGGGAGCAAACAGG
RNAcentral lists this ribosomal RNA (253 nucleotides) under uncultured bacterium. RNAcentral's name for it is "partial 16S ribosomal RNA". It matches the Rfam family "Bacterial small subunit ribosomal RNA", at positions 524 to 776 of the family's 1533-position model. The record is from RNAcentral.